AAGCAUAUCAAUAAGCGGAGGAAAAGAAACCAACCGGGAUUGCCUUAGUAACGGCGAGUGAAGCGGCAAAAGCUCAAAUUUGAAAUCUGGUACCUUCGGUGCCCGAGUUGUAAUUUGGAGAGGGCAACUUUGGGGCCGUUCCUUGUCUAUGUUCCUUGGAACAGGACGUCAUAGAGGGUGAGAAUCCCGUGUGGCGAGGAGUGCGGUUCUUUGUAAAGUGCCUUCGAAGAGUCGAGUUGUUUGGGAAUGCAGCUCUAAGUGGGUGGUAAAUUCCAUCUAAAGCUAAAUAUUGGCGAGAGACCGAUAGCGAACAAGUACAGUGAUGGAAAGAUGAAAAGAACUUUGAAAAGAGAGUGAAAAAGUACGUGAAAUUGUUGAAAGGGAAGGGCAUUUGAUCAGACAUGGUGUUUUGUGCCCUCUGCUCCUUGUGGGUAGGGGAAUCUCGCAUUUCACUGGGCCAGCAUCAGUUUUGGUGGCAGGAUAAAUCCAUAGGAAUGUAGCUUGCCUCGGUAAGUAUUAUAGCCUGUGGGAAUACUGCCAGCUGGGACUGAGGACUGCGACGUAAGUCAAGGAUGCUGGCAUA
RNAcentral lists this ribosomal RNA (583 nucleotides) under Saccharomyces cerevisiae (brewer's yeast). Its description in RNAcentral is "eukaryotic LSU rRNA". It matches the Rfam family "Eukaryotic large subunit ribosomal RNA", at positions 36 to 633 of the family's 3401-position model. Lineage: Eukaryota; Fungi; Ascomycota; Saccharomycetes; Saccharomycetales; Saccharomycetaceae. The record is from RNAcentral.